ACGCUCGACACCUACGGGAUGCAGCAGUGAGGAAUAUUGGUCAAUGGGCGCUAGCCUGAACCAGCCAAGUAGCGUGAAGGAUGAAGGCUCUAUGGGUCGUAAACUUCUUUUAUAUAAGAAUAAAGUGCAGUAUGUAUACUGUUUUGUAUGUAUUAUAUGAAUAAGGAUCGGCUAACUCCGUGCCUGCAGCCGCGGUAAUCUGAGCGGGCUGGCAAGGC
Molecule: ribosomal RNA, 218 nt
Filed under: uncultured bacterium
Lineage: Bacteria
Description: partial 16S ribosomal RNA
Rfam family: Bacterial small subunit ribosomal RNA
Source: RNAcentral